CCCUGCGAUCACUUUCCUCUCUCUUUCAUUAGCCCCUUACCGGCAGCUCAACCGCGCCACCACACCGACAUCCCAUUUUUGAACAACACGCGCACGCAAGCAAACCAAAGGGUAACUCGACGGAGCCCAUCGCGAAGGAGGCAAAGGCAGCGAGCAGCGAUCAUACACGACACAAAAACGGAGAGCAGAGGAAACAAGGUGGUUUGUGCAUCGAAACGCGCAUACACAAGCACACACGCACGCACAGACUAAUAAACGGCAACAAAACACGCACACACGUACACAGUAGAGGGUUCGGAGGACCUUGUACGACUCCCAGACGAGAAACACACCCACACAAAGGCAUCCACGGAGAAGAGGCUGAGGGGUGAAGUGUUGGCCUGCGGGCCUUUGUUCUCUCUCUCUGCAUCGGUGUCGCAUCUCGCUUUCUGGCCACCGUGGACGACGGGGGGACUGUAUUGCCCAUAACCCCUGCGUUUCCUUGAUCAGUCUCUGACGUUAUUUCCCCCUGGACCUCCAUCACGUGCCCCCGCCAUCUCACGUUUUUUUCGUUGUUUUACUUGUUAAAGCUCGCGCUCUUCUUUCCCGCUUGGGCUCCUCUUCCAUCUCACGCACACUUUCCAUCUGUCCCUCCGUUCGCUGUAUUCCGCACGCCCUUUCCUUCGCCCUCCCCCCGUCAAUUUCGGUGGAGUUUUCGAUUCUUCCGUUUUGCCCUUUUCUCGUUGCUGUUAUCUGCUGGGAGCGCUUGUUGCCCUUUAUCUCUUUUCCUCCGCUCUCCUCUACCUCUCUCUCCAACGCCUAACGUUGUGGCCUCACACGGCUCCCUCCCCCCUCCCUCUUCACCGACACGAAGCCUUCUUUCCUCGCCGCCCUCCUGCAGGUGCACCCACCAUUAGUAGUAGUCGGGAACCUUUCGUGCUAUUCCAGACAGAGGGAGCGGUAGACGUACCUUUGCCCGAGGCUCUCCACAAACCUUCCCCCUCCCCUACUCCUUCAGCCUGCCACGUCUCUCGCCCCUUUGAUCUCGCUUAUUCUUUUCUUUCCUUCUUAAUCAGUCCGUGUGUGUGUGUGUGUGUGUCUUUCCUUGAGAAGGCGCUCUUCGUUGUACUUCGCACGGCUUUGCUUUUUUUUUGCUUCAUACUUCAUUUCUUCGCUCGUGCAUACUCUUCCACUUCACCUUCGCACUGUAGUUGCUCGUGCGUGUGUGUGUGUGUGUAUAUGUGUGUAGCUCUCGCUCUCGCUCUGCUUCUACGCAUCGAUCGGCACGCUUUACCUUCGUUACCUUCUCUAUAUACGUGUAGAUGCCCUCUGGCUAAAUUUACAGACUACCGAGGCCCGACACGCGCUCAGCACACAAACGUUGCCUCAUCUGAUCGAACUCCCUCCACCUCUCAUCUUUUUAUCUCUUUUUUUUUUCGCCUCUUUCUUUUUCCCCCGUUUGCUAACGCACGCACACGCGUUACGCAAAGUGCAAACACCAACGAAGCGUAUAUACAAGCACAUACAUAUACGCACCCGUAGAGAGAGCGCUCGCUCCUCCAUUAGCGCUCCUUCAUCGCACGAUUUCCAUUUCUGUUUUUUUUUGUUAUUUGAUUUCAUCUCCAUUUUCGUUCGCCGCAUUUCAUUUUCCCUGUUUUCCUCCGCAUGCCCUACCCCCUUUGUGUCUGUCGUAUUCUCUGCGUGCGUGUCUUCUCCAUCGUGGCGAUCGUCUCUUGAGUUCAUCCCAUCCUCCUUCCAUUUCCUCACGGUUUGGCGUCUUCUUUUUUGUUUUGUUUUUCCCGUUUCCCCUGAAAGCCGCCGCACACACACACACACGCACACACACCACACCACAUACACCCAACCGCCGCCCCGCAUAUCAUUUCGUUUGCAUUGUUUGGUUUUGUUUUGUUUUUGCUUGUUUCACCUCUGCUGUUAUUAUUACGCGCUAUUUGCUCCCUCGUUAUAUAUAUAUAUAUAUACACGUGUGUGUGUGUGUGUGUGUGUGUGCUCGCGUGUGUGUUUCUCGAUUUCCUUUUCUUCGACUUCCAGUCUUGUUGCUUUGCUGUUCUCCUCCUGGCAUCUGACUUCGAGUCACACAUUCCCCCUCCCCUCCUCCUCUUCCGUUUCAUUGAGUCCAUCGCACUCCUUCGUGACUUAAGCGUACACCUCUUUUCUUUUUUUUUCACGAUUAUUCCCUCCUUCUCGCUUUGUGAGUUGCACCUACGCCAUACGCCAUAGCCGCUGCCGCCUCUUCUUCCCUUCAGCACACAUCUCCAUCUCCUCUCCCACCGCUCUCACCUUAGGGUUGUGGGUUUGUUCUCGCUUUACUUUUAUUGUUCCUUCCUGUGUCUCUUUACUCUUGACCCUGUUCACCGAUUGCUCACCACCACCACCACCACCGACUCAGCUGCGCUCGCGUCUCACUGUUCGCUCGAUUCGUUUUCGUUUUUUUUUCGGUUGUCAUGUCUGGUAUUUCCCAUUUGUCUCUCUGUUGUCGCCUACGCUGCUCCUCUUCACUGUGUCAACUUUCUCCGCUCGAUCAUCUCGUGCAUCGACAAGGGUGGUGAGGUCAACCAAAGCGAAAAAAAAAAAGAAAACAUUGGACGUCUGCGUCCGUGUGUGUGUUUGUGUGUGCGUGCGUGCGUGUGUCUACAGUCGUGGCGGAUUCGUUCGCGUCUCCCCCUCCCCUCCGCCCUGACACCUGCCAAACGGCCCAAUAUAAUCACCUACGCGCGCACAAGCUCAGGUGCGGCGAUACGCGCCUCGUCACCCUCUGUGUGUGUGUGUGCGUGUGUCUUCUUUCCUGUUGCCUGUUGUCAACAUAUAUAUAUAUAUAUAUGUUCGAGGAGGAGUUUCCAGCGUGAGGUGCGGAAUCAAACACUCGAAAAAAACGAAAGCACGCCGGGCAGGAGUAGAGGGCAAUUUAGCACUAGAGGGAAGCGGUGCGCAUUCACUUGAGUCUCGGUGUUUUUUUUUGGGCGUCUUCCUGCCUGCCUGUGUGUGUGCGCGCGCGCUCUCCACCCCUCCCUCCCUUUUUAUUGGUAGCAAGAGUCACCUGUUCUCAUCCACAACUCUCGAAUCCCAUCUACACUUACUUUCAUUAGUUCUUUCUACGUUUUCUUAUUUGUUUGUCGCGCUCGGUCUCUCUUGGGCUCUUGUCCACUGUUUUCCUUAUAUGAGUAUCGUGCCUCUCGAGGUUUGCUGUUAUUUCUCCAUUAGCCCCCCUCCUCAUUCCACCAGCUCGUGCCCUACCGCCUCCCUCUUUUCCCGCCGCUUUUUUUCCUAUCACAGCUUGCGAGGUACAGUCGUGCGUGGUUCCCCCUCCCCUUGCGUGAGUGCGCGCUUGCAAGGAUCUACACGAUCACGACUUUCGUCUCGUUUAGGCGUUCGCUCUUUUCCUCUCUCAUCCGCCCUAAUAGACGCGACCACAAACAGGCGCUUGUACGCUCUUGCACGCGAAACCACACGCAAGCACUCCACCUCGUGAAGAUAUCCUCUUCCCUUUUUGACUUGUGCAUGUUUUGCUGAACCUUAUUUUUUCUCUGGUAUCCGUUACGACACUUUCUUUGUGUGUAUGUGUGGUGCUGGUGGCGUUUGAUUUGCAUACGGACGUGUUCAUCUGUGUUUAUGGUUGUGACUAGCCUGAGUGUUGCGAUCGCCCUCUCUCCGUGCGCGUUUUCCUUUUUUUUUGCUUGGCCUCUCUCUGUGUCGUUUGCUUUUACUAACGGCUCAGUGUCCUCCCUUUUUAUCUCCUUUUUCCUCUUUGACGCCCAACCCUCACUCGUCCUACACUCUCUUCCUCACGGCCUUGUUCACUAGUCCGAAACCGUCGCCGCCACCCCACCUCUCUCUCUUUCACCUCUCUUUGACGGCGGCGUCGCUGUUUGUCGUCGUUGCUGUAGCUCCGUGCUGCCACCUCGAGUGCAGGUUUACAUGGGGUCAGCCCCUUGCCGAGGCCCUCUUGUCCAAAAGAAGUUCGGCGAUCGCGCUGCUCCCUGUAGUGUGUGUGUGUGUGUCUUCUUAUUUCUCUUUGAGUGAGCAGCGUCGUAACGCAGCCAGGCAGCCAUGUAUAACUUCUUCACCGGCGUCAAUGCGCCCUCGACUCCACCGCAGAAGCAGCCGCAAGCCGAGCCAUCACUACCACCCUCGGCCUGUCAUCACCACGUAGCCGCAAGCUCCCUCCUUGAUGGCAUGACGACACACAGCGCAUCCCUGUGGCUUCUCAACGCUGCACAGCACCCUCCGCUCUCAUACGCACGCAGUGAUGGUGGCGGCGGCAACUUAGCAGGAGCAGAACAGGAGAAAUGGACGACUGCUUCUAAUUUUUACAGCACCUUUCCAACGUCUGCUGCCCCGCCCUCCAGCAGCGGUGUGCAAAGCCUCCACGGCGUCGGUCAGCAGCCAGCGCAGCAGCCACACCAGCACUUAUGCACCUCUAUCCUUCAAUCACACGAGCACGUGGGAAGCAGCGCCACACCCGUUCCGGGCCUGUCAUCGCGGUUGCCGUUGCAGGAACAUCUGUCGUCGACUUGCGUCACGCUCAGGGGGGAGUCCCUUCGCGUGCGGUUCGACGGCGCCCCCUACUCGCCCUUCGCGUCGACUAAUGUAAGCACAGCUUCGCAGCCGCCUGAAGCUAUGCACAGUAACCAACAGUACUACGACAGCAUGAGUCAUCACAGACGUUACAGCGCAUCCAGUGCGAGUAGUAUACGGCACACUCUGCAGGUGUCUGCGUCGCCGGAGCAGCAGCACCAACAGCAGCGACUACCGAUCUCCAGCAGUGCGUGGGCCGCUGCUACCCCCGCCACUGCUACGCCGGCCUCGCUCUUUGCGUCCUCCUUCAUCCGAUCCUUGGCAAGCACGACCUAUCCUUGGUACUCCUGUGAUUUGAGUGGCAAUGCCCUGCCGACGCUGCCGGCUGCCGUCCCAGCGCCAUAUGUAAGUGGAACGACGCUGCCCAUGUCUAGCCAGUCGCAGGCAACCUACUCGGUCAUGCCGCAACCACCGAAAAGUGGACAGCCUUGUUCAUCUACCGCACACCCUACCCUGCACUCGAUCAUGAUCGUCCACCCGACCCUGGACAGGGGCACAGCGGCAAUUUUGCAGGCAUCCACAGACGCGGUGAACACGCCGCUCCAUUGCUUGACGGACCUCAAAGCGUCUGAAAUUUCCGGCACAACGCAUUACCUUGAAGCCGUGCAAGGUGGCGGCAGCGUUGGCGACAACUCGAAGCAGUCCUACCCGUCAUCGAUUCCCACGGCGUCGCGCCAGCCACAGCCGCCGCUUCAGCAAUACUGCCUGCAGCCUACUUCACAGCAGCAGCAGAGUCAGCAGUUGGCCGCGGAGCAGUCGCCAGUGUACUCCUGCCUCCUCACGAACGACGGGAACAUCAGCCAUUUUGUCAGCCAUACCACGGUGGCUGGUGCAAUCAUCCAGCCACCUUCUUCGAUGCUGAACGGCGUCGCGUCCUUGGCCUCGCUCAACUCGGGUGCCGCUGGUGCUGGGCGAAGCGGAGCAUGGCAACAGCCAUCCACCGCGGAUAUGGGCAGCUACAAUGAUCAGAGCAGUAAGCUCCAGCUCCAGCAGCAGCAGCAGCAGCAACUACGCCCGGUCAGCGCUGCACGGCCGGUUACCGACACGCGUGGAAUCGCUCGCCGAAACCGCGACAGGGCUGUUCUCUUCGUGGGGCAGCUCAACUAUGAGGCGACGGAGGCUGAUGUAUCGCAGGUGUUCUCUUGCUACGGCAAGCCGCUGAGCGUGGUGGUACUGAAAGACAAGGGCAAGGCGGCGAAAAAAGGCGGCGCUGGAGGUAUCAGCGGCGGCAGUGCAACAACGCACCGUAAAGUCGGUGGCUCGGCAUUUGUCACAUAUGGGACCACGCUGGAGGCCGACACAGCCAUCGUGGCGCUUCACGGUCGGUACAAUGCCAAGGACGAUGAUGCCGAGAACGUCGACAAUUCCAAGUAUCUGCAGGUAAGCUACGGCCAGCAAACGGGGCUGAUCUCAGCAUUUGGCAUGAUGCACGCCGAGAAGCUGCACGCCUCGAAGCCGGAGAAUCCAAUUCCGUUGUUGGUGAAGGGCCGCACAAACGGAAAGUCGUGAAGCCCACGAAGCCGAAUGAGCGGGCGAGAUAGCGCGUUUGGUGGUCAAGCGCUGAACGGAAACGCGGAAGAGGCUCUGCAGAAGCGGCGCCAGACGCGAACGUGGCUUCUUUGACAAUAUCUUCUUUUUUUUUUUCGGAGAAGCGCGGAGUGCGAGCAAAGAACACGGCGAGGGGGAGAUGCACGCGGGUGCACAGCAGCGCACAUAGCGUGCAAAUGAGAGGCAUUCUUUCGCAUGUGUGUAUGGACUGGUAAGUGAGAGCGCAUGUGUGGUCUCCUACCUUUUUUUUCCGUCUCUCCUCGGGAUCCCUGAUGACCGUGGCGGAGGGGGACACCUCAGUGCCCAGCACCCCAGCCCUAUGUAGGGAAAAGCCAGGCCGCUCCUCUAUCCCCUGCCAAUGCCGAGCCACUGCUGGUCGUGGCAGGGCCAAGUGCUUACGAUGUGGGGAGGUCAGAGCGAUGUGCCACUACUGGUGUCGGCGGUGUGGUUCUGGAUAGCGUUGCAUCGGAGCGACCUGCAACAGCGAGCACGUUUGUACGAGUCCAUAUGGGCAAGGUAUCAUCAUGACUAGAGCUCAUCUCACCCGGCCCUCGCACUGCCCACUGGUGCGGAAAGCCGGGGCCACCCCGAGGGGGAAGCGCCAGGUGGCGAGCGGCAUGAUGGGAGGAGCAGUUGUGAGGCGACCCGUGAGGCGGGGGUAGGCAGAUUAUGAGGCCGAGGCCGUGCUGUUAUAGCUGAGCCUUCAUUGCUGUAACGCGUGUCUAUGGCUGCUUCGCAUCAGGCGAUGGGCCUUGUGGCAGGCCGAGGUUUAGAGUGGCGUUCGACUCCCGUUGUGUGGCAGCACAGAUAGUGGAAGCGAAAACUCUCAUCAAUCUGUCAGCCCCACUUCAGUUCGACUUUUUGUCUUGUGGUUCAUUGCCCCCUUCCCUCGUCCCCCCUCUCGCGACUGCUUCCAGAGCUCAUUUUUUGUCGAUGUCACACCCUCGCCCUCUUUCCUCUCUCCCCCUCGCGGUAUUGCAGAACGGAUGCUAUCAUGAUUCGUCGACACUUCUUCGUUGCGGUGGUAUAUAGAUGUGGGUGUCUUUUUUCUUUUUGUGCCGUGGACGAGUCUUGCUGCUACCUCCUCCCUCCCAAUACCUCCGCCGCCGGGCCCUUCCCCCUCUCCCCGCUCCCACUCAAAACCCUCAUCAGCACCUUCACACAUUUGUAAGUCGUUUGUUUCUUGUUGAUUUUGGAUUCCUGCCCCUCUCCCCGUGCCUCUCCCCAGUCUUGGCUUUCCUUUUUCCAAGGCUGUCAUCCGUAUGCUGUAGUGCUUGCCCACGUGUGACAAAUCGAAUCUGGGGUCGAGGGAGUGUGGUGUGGCUCACCUUUUUCUUAUGAUUUGUGCCGAGGUACUCUUGUUGCUCUAGAUACGUGUGUGUCUGUCAGCCCUUUGCCUCUUCCUUCGCAGUCAGCAACUGAAAACGGGCUUAGAGGGUAUGGUACAUGUGGGCGCACACACACACACACACAUGCAUACACAUAUCAAGAACUGUCAUCAAUGCUGUAUGCACUUGGCGUUGCAUACUCCGCACAAGCCUUUUUUUUUUGGCUUGCGGUUCUUCGUUUGUCUUCUCGAAUCCAAUCCUGCUCCUCUCCCUCCUCUCCCCUUUUCUUCUGCGAAUCCUCUUUCCCUUUGCGUGUGCGUGCGCGUGUGAGCAUUUCUCUCGCUCUUUGUGUCUCCUCCCUCCGUUCUGUGGUCCCAUUCGAUACCCCUCAGUCCUCACUGUCCCCCUCCACGGCACUUUAGUUGUGCGUGUGUGUGUUUCUUUAUUCCUCUUAUUUUUUCUUUCGUCGUGCGGCGAUGUCUUUUCCAUGUUCCCCGCGCUCUCUCGCUCUCUUUAUGUUUGGUGUUAUUGGUCGCUGUUUUGUGUGACUUCUCUCAUCGCUUAUUGUUUCGUGUUUGGUCUCUCUCCCUCCCUCCCCUAGCCUUUUUUUCUUUUGGUCUUCCCCCGGGCCGCGACACGUGUGAGCGCGGCAAGCAGUGAUGCCGACGCUCUCUCCACCCCCUCCCUUCCCCUCCUCCUCGUCCUCUUCGCAUCCCCUUCACUGUUUUAUAUGCGUGCGUCUGGGCGCCGAGAUGUGUUCUUGGGUGAGUGUGGCGGGUGUGCAGAGGCCUUUUCAGUCUUUUGUAGAGGACGCGCUCAUGCAUCGCUUUUUUCUCUUUCUCUUCUCAUAUUAGGGGAUCGACUGUCGUGCCCGCGCAUCUCCGUAAGUAAAGGCGCCUUCACUGCUCCUUUUUUUAUUCCUUGUCCGUAUACUCGUAUAGAUGCCGCUGUGCACUAGUACGCGUGUGUGUACACUGGCACGCAGCACUGCAGGCAAGGAAAAACAUUUUUAAAAAGAAGGCAUACCGUCAUGUCGGCACAGAGGUAAGACUUCACGUAUGAAACUUUAUGUUGUUGUUUUCUCACUUUCCCUCUCCGUGCCCUUCGCUCCGUUUCUUUUGUUCCUUGUUAUUAGUGUGUUGAUAUCGCUGAUGGUGCUGAUGGCUGCUCUCCUGUGCCCUCCGCUCGGCACACAGUCACGCACGCUUGGCUAUUCGGAAAGAAGUAGAAGGCGAAACGGAAAGAAGUUGUUGUGUUACUACACUUUUACAUGCUUACAUGUGUAGGUUCGUCCGCACAUCGACUCGUCUACCACGCCCAAUUCAAACACUCGUGAGUAUCGGCAAAACCCGUCGUUCACUCCUCCCUCUCUGCAUGCUCCCCUCCCCCGACAGGCCCUCAGUUUUGCUGCUCUUGAAACCACACCAUCAUUUGUUGGAUGAUGUCUUACGCGCGCCUCAUGUCUCUUCUCGAUGCUCGGCCCUGCACAGUAUAUGUGCAUGAAAAGGCGAGAGGCGGAACCACAAUGAUGAGCGCCCUACAAGAGGCAGAGAGGGCGAAGAAGAAGAAAAAGGAGAAGAGAGAGGCAGCCCCGUGAGGCACUACCAAGCCAAACGGAGAACUACAGUAUCUCUUGUUUCUUUGCUGGUGUUUUCUCCCUUUUCGUAAGUGUGCAUGUGUGUGUGUGUGUGUAUGUAUUGCGCCUUCUUUAUUUCACCUUCUGUUUGUGGACGUCUCGGUCACUUGCUCAUUUUUUGUGUGUUCCUCCUCUCAGGUCGCCUUCACUCUCCUAUACGAUUCCCUAAUCCCGCUUCUCCUCCACCCCAAACCCCAGCCCUAACUUAUGUUAUUUUCCCAUCUCUUUCUCUACGGCCGCCCUUCUUUUUCGAGCGUUAAGCUGUCUUCCCUCACCCCAUGCUUGCCCCCACUAUGCCUUUCUGAUUCUCUUGCCCCCCCUGUGCACUUGCCCUCGCCUUGUGUUCAUGUCUUUGUGCGUCUAUCGGCACCUAUUUCCUCUGUUCACGUCCACUUUCUGUGGUGCUUGUGUGUGUGUGUGUGUGUGUGUGUGUGUGUUUCGUUCAUCUUUUCUGUUUGUUCGCCUCCCCUCCCCCUCCUUGAUAUGCCCGCGUGUGCGUGCGUGUCUGUGUUUGUGGGGUGGGGGAUGGAAGCGCGGAAGCUGCUGCAAGACAUGUAAUGAUGCUGGGCCGAUCUACCUCGCGAGAGAAAAAUAAAGGCGAAAGAUGGGAAAAGAGAAGGAGCUAUAUAUGUGUGUGUAUGAGGUUCAUCUUCCCUCUGUCUUGCCACAUCACUCUCCAUGCAGCGGAUGCAUCACCCCUUCCUCCCGUUGUCGCCUUGCAGGCGGAAGCUGACAUCGUCGCGUAGCCUCGUGUGCUCUCUUCUCUCUCAGCGUUCUCUCCUUUUGGGGGAGGGGGAAAAAAUGACGGAUGCAUGUGUUCAGAGCCAUUUGGCUGCUUUUCUUUGUCUUCCCCUCGUUACAGUGUGCACAUUCAUCAACACCUUCCAGUAUAUCGGGGCUGGCCUCCUCCGCCUCUGCACACGCAGACUCCCCUCUUUCGACCAGGAAGCCGUGUGUCUCUCCAUUUUUAUUCCAGGAAAAAGCAGAGAAGAGAGUUGUUUGAUGGCGUCCCCUUUCCUACCCCCUUUCCUGGGACUCUACCCUUUGGGAUGUAUGUGCUUGUCUGUCUCCUCUGCCAGGAUCCCCCUCCUUUGCUCUCCCUCUCUCUCAAUUCUCUCGUUCUCGUUACGCAACGCCACACAGCCUCCCUGUUCUCCGACUCCCGCUCUUUCUGUCUGGAUAUGUGCUCUUUUUUUUUGUUUGUGCGUACGUGUUUUCUGUUCCCUCUCUAUCAGUCUUAGUGCGUUGUGCGCACUUUCACUGUUACGUCGCGUGUGCCAUUCUUGUCAUAUUUAGUGAUGUCUUUCUGUCGUGAGUGCGCAUGCGUCUGUGUGGCGGGCGAGUCCUUUCUCCCUCACGAACGCGCUUGCGACGAGGUCGUCACCCCCUUCACUGAUUCAGCCCCCGUCCCCUCCCCCCCCAAAUGACCCUUCCCCCUCUUCUCCAUAGUGGUGCUUUUUUUCCUUCUCUCCAUCUCUUGCCUCUGAUUCGUUGAAGUCCCCCUCGCUCGCACUGUUCUUCUUUAUCCCCCCCCCCUUCCCUUUACUCGUCAUCCCGGAGCAUGCUCUCUUUCUUCAUGCGUUGCGUCUUGUUUUUUGUGGAUGUUGUUCUUGAAGAAAAAAAAUCAUCCGCAUUGAAUCAGGCUUCAGACUCCUUGGUGCCUCUCCCUCUCUCCUCGCUGUGGGUGCGUGUGCGAGGGCGAGGGUGACUAGGCACGGUUCACUCCAUUUUUUCUGUGCUGCCCAGGGGCGCCCUCUCCCUCUCUGUUGCCUCCUUAGAGCAUCGAUGCGGCGAUACACAGCCGAGCUGUGGCCCAAUGCAUUUGUUUGCCUUUUUUUAUUCUUGGUCUUUCUCUUCUCUCCGAGUGUGCGUCACCAUUCUGGAAGCUGUAGUGGUGCUUGUCUCAUGCUUUUUUACUUUUUUUUCGCUUGUUUGCUUCCCUUCCUACCUCUCUUGCCGGCCGUCUUUCCCUCCUCCUCCCCCCUUUCCGUCCCAUCUCCUCUCCUCACGUCUCUGCUACGCAUUCGCGUACCGAACUCAGCCGCCUCAUCCUCUCUCUUUCUCGUUUGCUUGUUUGUUUUUCAUGUUUAUUUCGCUUCUUUUACUUGCACAGCCAAUACAUGCAAGCAGAGAACAGUAGCCAAAUAAGUUACUAUAUGAGCACUUGAGAAGCACGCCACGAAAAGCACGUCAUCACUGUCGCCUCCUCCUCACCCCCACACACACACAC
Molecule: unclassified non-coding RNA, 11317 nt
Filed under: Leishmania donovani
Lineage: Eukaryota; Euglenozoa; Kinetoplastea; Trypanosomatida; Trypanosomatidae
Description: gene:LdHU3.33.2290(CDS-product:RNA_recognition_mo tif._(a.k.a._RRM_RBD_or_RNP_domain)_putative)
Source: RNAcentral